GUGUGUAAUAAUACUGUUUAUGUAUUGUAUCCCCAGAUGGAUAUAGUCUGAGGAGGUGUGUAAUAAUACUGUUUAUGUAUUGUAUCCCCAGAUGGAUAUAGUCUGAGGAGGUGUGUAAUAAUACGGUUUGUGUAUUGUAUCCCCAGAUGGAUAUAGUCUGAGGAGUUGUGUAAUAAUACUGUUUAUGUAUUGUAUCCCCAGAUGGAUAUAGUCUGAGGAGUUGUGUAAUAAUACGGUUUGUGAUGACUGGCUGCAAGCCUCUGCUGGCCCUUUGGAAGGGAAAUCUAG
Molecule: long non-coding RNA, 288 nt
Filed under: Salmo salar (Atlantic salmon)
Lineage: Eukaryota; Metazoa; Chordata; Actinopteri; Salmoniformes; Salmonidae
Description: lncRNA (ENSSSAG00000101050.1)
Source: RNAcentral